ACGAACGCUGGCGGCGUGCUUAACACAUGCAAGUCGAGCGGGUAAGGCCCUUUCGGGGGUACGACGAGCGGCGAACGGGUGAGUAACACGUGGGUGACCUGCCCUCAGCUCUGGGAUAAGCCUGGGAAACCGGGUCUAAUACUGGAUAUGACUCCAUGACGCAUGUUGUGGGGUGGAAAGCCUUGUGCGGCUGAGGAUGGGCCCGCGGCCUAUCAGCUUGUUGGUGGGGUGANGGCCUACCAAGGCGACGACGGGUAGCCGGCCUGAGAGGGCGACCGGCCACACUGGGACUGAGACACGGCCCAGACUCCUACGGGAGGCAGCAGUGGGGAAUCUUGCGCAAUGGGCGAAAAGCCUGACGCAGCGACGCCGCGUGAGGGAUGACGGCCU
RNAcentral lists this ribosomal RNA (390 nucleotides) under uncultured bacterium. Its description in RNAcentral is "bacterial SSU rRNA". It matches the Rfam family "Bacterial small subunit ribosomal RNA", at positions 29 to 417 of the family's 1533-position model. The record is from RNAcentral.